UUUGUUGAGCCUCCUGAUAGAUCAUUAUUGU
This 31-nucleotide non-coding RNA is filed under the name Mus musculus (house mouse). Lineage: Eukaryota; Metazoa; Chordata; Mammalia; Rodentia; Muridae. The record is from RNAcentral.